This 253-nucleotide ribosomal RNA is filed under the name uncultured bacterium. RNAcentral describes it as "partial 16S ribosomal RNA". It matches the Rfam family "Bacterial small subunit ribosomal RNA", at positions 524 to 776 of the family's 1533-position model. The record is from RNAcentral.
UACGGAGGGUGCAAGCGUUAUCCGGAUUCACUGGGUUUAAAGGGUGCGUAGGUGGGUUGGUAAGUCAGUGGUGAAAUCCCCGAGCUUAACUUGGGAACUGCCAUUGAUACUAUCAAUCUUGAAUACUGUGGAGGUAAGCGGAAUAUAUCAUGUAGCGGUGAAAUGCUUAGAUAUGAUAUAGAACACCAAUAGCGAAGGCAGCUUACUACGCAGUUAUUGACACUGAGGCUCGAAAGCGUGGGGAUCAAACAGG